Molecule: ribosomal RNA, 345 nt
Filed under: Staphylococcus aureus
Lineage: Bacteria; Bacillati; Bacillota; Bacilli; Caryophanales; Staphylococcaceae
Description: partial 23S ribosomal RNA
Rfam family: Bacterial large subunit ribosomal RNA
Source: RNAcentral
GCCAAUUAAUUUAACUUGGGAGUCAGAACAUGGGUGAUAAGGUCCGUGUUCGAAAGGGAAACAGCCCAGACCACCAGCUAAGGUCCCAAAAUAUAUGUUAAGUGGAAAAGGAUGUGGCGUUGCCCAGACAACUAGGAUGUUGGCUUAGAAGCAGCCAUCAUUUAAAGAGUGCGUAAUAGCUCACUAGUCGAGUGACACUGCGCCGAAAAUGUACCGGGGCUAAACAUAUUACCGAAGCUGUGGAUUGUCCUUUGGACAAUGGUAGGAGAGCGUUCUAAGGGCGUUGAAGCAUGAUCGUAAGGACAUGUGGAGCGCUUAGAAGUGAGAAUGCCGGUGUGAGUAGCG